This 147-nucleotide non-coding RNA is filed under the name Martinezella lusitana. RNAcentral's name for it is "Rhizobium lusitanum FMN sequence". It matches the Rfam family "FMN riboswitch aptamer (RFN element)". Rfam says of the family: The RFN element is a highly conserved domain that is found frequently in the 5'-untranslated regions of prokaryotic mRNAs that encode for flavin mononucleotide (FMN) biosynthesis and transport proteins. This element is a metabolite-dependent riboswitch that directly binds FMN in the absence of proteins. The record is from RNAcentral. Lineage: Bacteria; Pseudomonadati; Pseudomonadota; Alphaproteobacteria; Hyphomicrobiales; Rhizobiaceae.
AUCCGUUCUCAGGGCGGGGUGCAAUUCCCCACCGGCGGUAUGGGGGUUUCCCCCGAGCCCGCGAGCGCCUUCCGGUCCCCCGGAAGGGUCAGCAGAUCCGGUGAGAGGCCGGAGCCGACGGUAUAGUCCGGAUGGAAGAGAGCAAGC